This 452-nucleotide ribosomal RNA is filed under the name uncultured bacterium. RNAcentral describes it as "SSU rRNA". It matches the Rfam family "Bacterial small subunit ribosomal RNA", at positions 26 to 518 of the family's 1533-position model. The record is from RNAcentral.
AGAACGAACGCUGGCGGCAUGCCUAACACAUGCAAGUCGAACGCGUGUAGCGAUACACGAGUGGCGGACGGGUGAGUAACGCGUGGGAACCUGCCCUGGAGUGUGGGAUAACCGAGGGAAACUUCGGCUAAUACCGCAUACGACCUGAGGGUGAAAGAUUUAUCGCUCUAGGAGGGGCCCGCGUCGGAUUAGCUAGUUGGUGGGGUAAAGGCCUACCAAGGCAGUGAUCCGUAGCUGGUCUGAGAGGAUGAUCAGCCACACUGGGACUGAGACACGGCCCAGACUCCUACGGGAGGCAGCAGUGGGGAAUAUUGGACAAUGGGGGGCAACCCUGAUCCAGCAAUGCCGCGUGAGUGAUGAAGGCCUUAAGGGUUGUAAAGCUCUUUCGCGCGCGACGAUGAUGACGGUAGCGCGAGAAGAAGCCCCGGACUAACUUCGUGCCAGCCAGCCGC